CAUACAUCCCUGUUAGAGACACCAUAAACCAUGUCAGGUAAAACAGCGUAUAUAUUGAAAACAUGAAAGAACGAAAACUAGUCACUUUAUCAGCUAAUCACAGAGGGCAACUCUAACAAUGCGGCAGUUCAAUGUCUGCUGCAAUCAACAACUACCAUAUGUUGUGGGAGUUGGGUGUCUUCUC
Molecule: long non-coding RNA, 184 nt
Organism: Magnolia sinica
Lineage: Eukaryota; Viridiplantae; Streptophyta; Magnoliopsida; Magnoliales; Magnoliaceae
Exons: 2
Source: RefSeq, a predicted model, not a curated record